Cavia porcellus (domestic guinea pig) is the source of this 7456-nucleotide long non-coding RNA. RefSeq lists it as uncharacterized. The transcript is spliced from 3 exons. The record is from RefSeq and is a predicted model, not a curated record. NCBI's taxonomy places the organism in Eukaryota, Metazoa, Chordata, Mammalia, Rodentia, Caviidae.
CGUGGGUCCUACUCGCCAGACCCUCACUCACUCAGGGCGGCGCUGGGGUCCUUUACUGUCACCGUGCUGCGGCACCCGGCUUUGAGGAUCCUCACGCGGUUCCACGGAUCGGAGACUGGCCGCAUGGGAGCAGCCAUCUUGCGCGGCAGGGGAAAGCCGAGCGUAGGCGGAGCUGGAAUCUUGGACUACAGCAGAUUAAUUAUACUAGUUUGACGAGAGAUUCAGCAACUGCUUCACUCAACAGAGGAUCUCAGCAGGCUCCAGUCAGUGUGCUGGAAAAACUGUAAAUGAAGCUGAAGAUAGAAUUUCAGACCUUGAGGAUAGGAUUAUAGUCAUCAGCCAUGAAAAGGUAGGACUUUUCAAAACAACAAAGCAACAUGAAAUGACAAUGUAUCAGCUUCAGGAUGACGCCAAGAGAAAUAAUGUAAGACUAAUAGGCAUCAAUGAAGAUGCAGGGGUCAAUGCAAAUGAUGUAGGUAAACUACUCAGAGUAGUAAUAGAAGAAAAUUUCCCAAACAUGGGGAGAAACCUGAUAUACAGAUAAGGGAGGCAUACAGAAUGCCAAAGAGUCACAAGCAACAUAAAUCUACAUCCAGACAUAUAAUAAUUAGAAUCCCAGACAUACAGCAUAAAAAUAGAAUACUAAAACUGUUAGAGAAAAGACAUCAGAAUCAUGGCAGACUUUUCAGCACAAACCCUCAAGUUAACAUAAGCUUGAGUGAAGUAUUUCAAUCCCUGAAAGAAAACAACUUUCAACCCAGACUGAUAUACCCAGAAAAACUUCCAUUCAAAUUCAGUGGAGAAACAAAAUACUUCCAUGACAAAGAACAAUUGAAGAAUUCAUGUUCACAAAACCAGCCCUAGAAAGAGUAUUGAAAGGCGUACUAGAUAGAGACAAAAAUGACCAUAAUCUCCAGAACAACAGCAGAAACACCACCAGGCAGGGCAAACAAUUAAACAAAGGAGAAAAGCAGAAAACAAACAAUAGAAUAUAACAUGGCAAAGUUGAGCCAAUACAUAACUGUACAUUUAUAUCCAUAAAGGUAAGUGGCCUCAAUUCGCCUAUCAAAAGAAAUAGGUUGACGGAAUGGAUCAAGAAACAGGAUCCCAUAUUACACUAUAUGCAAGAAACACAUCUAACUUAAAAGGAAACUCAUAGCCUAAAAUUCAAAGGAUGGAAAACAUUAUUCCAUGCAACAGGAACCCAGAAAAAAGCAGGGAUACCUAUGCUGUUUGCAGACAAUAUGAACUUCAAGCCCAAAUGACUAAAGAGAUAAAGAAGGUCAUUGCAUACUUGUUAGUGGAAAACUUCCAGAAGAAGAACUAACAAUUAUAUAUAUAUAUAUAUAUAUAUAUAUAUAUAUAUAUGCACCAAAUACAGAAGCACCCAACUAUUUAAGACAAAUACUAAUGGACAUGAAAAAUCAAAUACACAAGAACACAAUUGUAAUAAGCCACCUUAAUAUCCCACUGUCACAAAGAGAUACAUCAACUAGACAAAAAAUCAGCAAAGAAAUAAUAGAACUGAGUGAUACUUGUGAGCAAAUGGAUUUAGUAGAUACUUACAGAGUGUUCCACCCAACCACACCAGAAUACACAUUCUUCUCAGCUGCACAUGAGGCAUUCUCCAGAAUAGACCAUAUAUUAACUCAUAAAACAUUCUAAGUAAAUGCAAUGGGAUUGCAAUUAUCCCAUGCAUAAAAUCUGAUCAUAGUGCAUAGACAUUGGAAAUUGAUGGCAAAAGAAAUUACAAAACCAGCAUAAAUGCAUGGAAAUUAAAUAACAGACUUCCAAACAACCAGUGGGCUACAGAUGAAAUUAAAGAAGAAAUAAAGCAAUAUCUACAAUUCAGUGAAAAUGUGGAUACAACAUACCAUAACCUGUUGUAUGCAAUGAAAGUGAUCCUAAGAAGGAAAUGUAUAGCAAUAAAUUGUCACAUCAAGAAAAUGGAGGUAGCACAAAUAACCUGAUGCUACAUCUCAAGCUCCUAGAAAAGAAAGGGCAAGUAAAACCCAAAGCCCAUAGAAGAGAAGAAAUUGGAAAGAUCAGAGCAAAAAUUAAUGCAAUUGAAGCUAAAAAAGCAAUACAAAAAAUUAAUGAGUUGAAGAGCUGGUUUGUUUGAGAGAAUAAAUAAAAGUAAUAAACCUCCAGUCAACCUUGUCAAGAAAAAGAAAAACUCAAAUUCAUGCAAUAAGAACUGAAAAGAGAAAUCACUACAGACCCCAUAGAAAUUCAAAAGAUCAUAAAGACUUACUUUGAAAAUCUCUACUCACAUAUAGUGGAAAACACAAGGAAAUGGGCAGAUUUCUAGAAACAUAUGAAGUACCAAAGCCCAAUCAAGAAGAUAUAACCAUUUUGAAUAACCCAAUAUCAGCUAUUGAAAUUGAAAAUGUGAUUAAAAACUUAUGAACAAAGCCCAGGUCUUGAUGGAUUCAUGGCUAAAUUCUAUGUGGGAAGACGCCUAUGAUGGCGCCCAUUUCCUGCUUCCGGGUUCUUCCCGGCCUGAACAAGCCCGCCAAAUUGUCAUGUCUGCCCAGUUACCCGUGACGCUAGCCUAUCAGCUUGUUAGACGCGCUUCUCUGUGAUUGGAUACUGCCUCCCCUUAUAAGAGGCUGUUCCUGCCCCCAACGGGCGGAAGAGGAACCAACACUGAGGGUGGCGGACCUUGUCAGGUCCGGUUCGCUGUACGCAAUAAAGUUUGAGAGCUGAUCCUGCUCGAGUUUGGUCUCCUGUCUCCCGCGGCUCCGGUCAAUUCUACAAGAAAUUUAGAGAAGAGUUGACUCCAACACUUCUUAAACUUUUCAAUGAAAUCAAAAAAGGAGCAGUGCUCCCUAACUCAUUCCUAGAAACAAGUAUCACUUUGAUACCAAAAGCAGAGAAAGACCUAACUAAAAAGAGAACUAUAGGCCAGUCUCACUAAUGAACACUGAUGCAAAGAUGCUCAAUAAGGGGCUAGGAAUUUAGCUCAGCAGCAUAAGUGCCUGCCUUGCAAGCAGGCAGUCGUGAGUUCAAUCCCUGGUACUAAUAAAAACGAAAAAGAAAGAAAAAAAAGAUGCUCGAUAAAAUGUUAGCAAAUAGAAUGCAGCAAAUCAUCAAGAAGAUUAUACACCACGACCAAGUGGGAUUUAUUCCAGGAAUGCAGGGAUGGUUUAAUAUAUGCAAAUCAAUAAAUGCAAUACAUCACAUCAGAGCCAAAAACAAAAAUCACAUCAUCAUCUCAAUAGGUGCAGAAAAAGCUUUUGAUAAAGCCCAAUACCUGAUCAUGAUAAACACCCUAUAGAAACUUGGAAUAGAUGGUAUCUACCUCAAUCUUAUAAAGGCCAUCUAUGACAAAACUAACAGUCAACAUUAUACUAAAUGGACAAAAACUGAAAGCUUUCACUUUAAAAUCAGGAACAAGACAAGGAUGUCAAUUAUCACCACUCCUAGUCAAUAUAGUUCUGGGAAUAUUAGGGCAGUCAGACAAGAGAUAGAAGUAAAAGGAACAAAGAUAGGAAAGGAAAAAGUUAAAUCAUCAUUAUUUGCCAAUGACAUGAUACUUUAUAUAGAAGACCCAAAAAACUCCAUGAAAAGACUGCUAGAGGUACUAAACAAAUUCAGCAGUGUAGCUGAAUACAAAGUCAGUGCUCAAAAAUCAACAGCAUUCCUGUAUACAAACCAAAAAACUCACUGAGAGCGAAAUUAUGGAAUUAUCGCCUUUCACAAUAGCACCUUUAAAAAAUGAAAUAUCUAGGAAUCAACCUAACCAAUAAUGUAAAAGACCUAUAUGCUGCAAAUUGUACUACUCUUUAAAAAGGAGAUUGAAGAGGAUAUUAGAAAAUGGAAGAAUAUUCCUUGCUUUUGGUUAGGAAGAGCCAACAUUGUGAAAAUGGCCAUACUCCCAAAACUGUAUGGCCAAACUCGCAAAUACAGAUUUAAUGCAAUCCCAAUCAAAAUGCCACUAACAUACCUUACAGGUCUGGAGAAAACACUUCUAAAAUUCCUUUGGAAACAGAAGAAACCUAGAAUAGCAAAGGCAAUUCUGGGCAAGAAAGGCAAAGCAUCUCAAUUCUUGACUUGAAAUUACACUACAAAGCCACAAUGAUACAAUCAUCAUGGUACUGGCAAAGAAAGAGACCUAAGGACCAAUGGAACAGAUUAGAAGAUGCAAACACAACUACAAAGACACUUAUAGCCACCUUAUAUUUGACAGAGGGGCUAAAUAUGUUCACUGGAAAAAGAAUAGCCUCUUUAAUAAAUGGUGUUGGAAAAGUUGGCUUUCCAUAUGCCGAAGGCUGAUACUAGACCCAUGCCUGUCACCAUACACUAAACUUAAGUCUAAAUGGAUCAAAGAUCUAAAUAUUAAAACAGAAACACUAAAUCUAUUUGAAGACAAGGUAAGUAGGAAGCUUUGAGACAUAGUGGUAGGGAGAAGAUUCAUGAACAAAAUGCAAACUGCACAGGAAAUACUUCAAAGAAUCAACAACUGGGAUCUAAUUAUUAAAAAGUUUUUGUACUUCAAAAGAAAUCACCAACAGAGUGAAAAGAAAACCCACAGAAUGGGAAAGAAUUUUAGCCAGCAACCCCUCAGACAAAGGACUUAUAUCCAGAAUAUAUAAAGAAUUGAAAACAUGAAGCCCCCUGAAUUCAAAGAUCCUUUCCAAAAGUGGGCAUCUGAGCACACAUUUCUCAGAUGAAGAUAUACAAAUGACAAAUAAAUACAUGAAGAAAUGUUCACCAUCACUGGUCAUUCGAGAAAUGCAAAUUAAAACAGCACUGAGAUUUUAUCCCACUUCGGAAAGAAUGGCUGCCAUCAAGAAAUCAACUGAUUGGUGAGGCUGUUGGGAAAAAGGAAAGCUUCUCCACUGUUUGUGGGAGUGUAGACUGGUACUGUCACUAUGGAAAUGAAUAUGGAGAUUCCUCUAAAAACUAGGAUUGGAAGUUCCAUUCAACCCAUCUAUUCCCCUCCUGGGUAUUUUCCCAGUAAAACUGAAAAAAGUCAUGUCACAGUUAUAUAUGUACACCCAUGUUUAUAGCACCACUGUCAUGGUUUAUGUCUGGCCCCAGGCCUCAUGCAUUUGCAUUGUGCAUUUGUGAUUGGUUCAUUGUCUAGAGCUUGGAUUGAUGGUGUCAGUGCUACACCCACCUAGGGGUGGAGCCAGCAUAUAAUUUAAUGGCAGGAAGAAACACUCUCUCCCUCUCUCUCUCUCUCUCUCUCUCUCUCUCUCUCUCUCUCUCUCUGGUUUCUGCUUGCUGUUUGCAGCCACCAUGAACUGUGGCCCUGCCAUGCCACCCUGCCUGGAAUACAACUGAGUUGGACUGAGAGGUUCAAAAACUGUAAGAAAUAAAUCUUUCUUUUCCCAACUUUGGGCAUCAGGUUAUUUUGUGUCAGCAAUGAGUAAAAAAUAACUAAGACAGAAUUUGGUACCAGAAGUGGUAUUGCUAUGACUAUACAUGACCAUGUUUUUCAAGAGGCUUUGGAAAUGGCUUGUGGGCAGAGUUUGGAAAGGUUCAGACAUGAUGCAUAGCGCUGGAGCAGUUUGGUCUGUUCUUUAGUGAAGAGUCUGGUCAAAGCUCAGAAGACCAGAAGGCUGAUAGAAAGCCUGAUGGUAAAGACCAGACUUGGGAAGUUUCUGCUGGGAAAAAGGACUGCAUUGAUUGUUGGACUCCCCAAAAUGUGUGGGGAAGAAUGUGUGAUUUGGCAGAAAGUUUGUCUGCAUUUUGCUCAUGCAGAGACUUUGCCUGGGACUGAGACUAAGGGAAAUGGACUGAUUAAUCUGGCAAAGGAAAUUUCAAGGCAGUUGAAUGUUGAGGCUGUGGCAUGGCUAUUGUUGGGGCUUUUAGCCAGCUUUAUGUUGCAAAUCAAGAGCAAAGAGCCCAGCAGGAUAACUUGCAAAACUGUGAGUUUGGCCAGAAGGAAAACUCCAGGAAAGCUGUGGAUUGUAGAGACAGAGAUGGGACUUUGACUGCUGAGGAGAAACAGAGAGAGAAAAAAGAUGGCCAUGGGGCAUCCCAAGAAGCAGUGGGUCUCUACCCUUUGCAGCCUCAAAACUGCAAAAGUGAAAGAAUUUGCUCAGAGGGGAAAGCUGCAGAGCACUAUGCUCCAGAAUGGUGACAGAGGCCACAUGAGGUUCCAGAAUGGUGGCAGCCAAAUGAAGUUCCAGAAUGGUGGCAACAUAGAAAAGCUUUUCUUCACAAUCAGGAUCACAGAGUCAGUGGUCCAGGCAAUCAACCCCUACAGCCAAGAGAGAAAAAAGCCUGGCUACUGCUCUAGCUGGCAGCAAACCUUGGCCCACAUGGCGCUGAUUUUAGGUGCAAGAAAAGUACACAAAUUCUGAGGGUAAAUCAGCUUCCUCCUUGAUUACAAAGGGCCCGGGAGACCAAGCAGUGUGCCCCUCAGAGGGCAAUUUGUAAAGAUGUAAAGGUGAAGCCAAAGGUUCAAUGGAGACCCCAGAAGUUUGGAAAAGCUAGGAAUGUGGAUCAUCCAAGGAAAGCUGCAAAAAGUGAGCAAAAAAGGUUUAAGAAAGAAGCUGCAGGAGCUGAUAUCCCUGGAAGUGCUGUGGGGGUGGAAUCACGCAAGCCUUUUGGAGCUUGCAAACAGAUUGCUUCAAAUGCUGAGCAUGGAAGUCUAGGACUUAAUGUUUGCCCUGCUGGAUGUUGGACUUGCUUUGUUUCCAAUGCUUUAUAUCCCCUUGUUUGUAACUUUUGGAAUGGUAGUGUUAAUCUUGUGCCUUUGCGUUUCAGAAAUGUUUAACCUUGUUUCAUUUGUACAGGAGGUUACAGUUAACAGUUUGCUGUAGAUAUGGGAGGAAACUUGGGACUUGGACUUUUCAGCAAUGCUGAAACUAUUAGGACUUUGGCAACUCUUGGAGAUGGACUAAAUGUGUUUUGUAUAAAUGAUAUACAUGAGUCCUGGGGGCCAGGGGCAGAAUGUCAUGGUUUAUGUCUGUGGCCCCCAGGCCUCAUGCAUUUGUACUAUGCAUUUGUGAUUGGUUCAUUGUCUAGAGCUUGGAUUGAUGUAUCAGUGCUACACGCACCUAGGGGUGGAGCCAGCAUAUAAUCUAAUGGCAGGAAGAAGGUGUGUCUCUCUCUGUCUUGCUGGUUUCUGCUUGCUAUUUGCAGCCACCAUGAAGUGCGGCCCUACCAUGCCACCAUGCCUUGGAGCCAACAGUAUGGAUUGAAACCUCCAAAAACUGUAAGAAAUAAAUCUUUACUUUCCCAACUUUGGGCAUCAGGUAUUUUGUUCAGCGAUGAGUAAAAAGUAAGACAAACACAGUUUAUAAUAGCUAAAUCUUGGAAACAACCAAAAUGCCCAUCAACUGCAGAGUGGAUGAAAAAGUUGUAUUUUUAUACUGUGGAAUAUUACUCAGCUAAGACUGACAUUUAUAAAUAUCACAUUGUCUCUCUAGUGUAGAAAAAUAAUAAACUGAAAGAGUAAUAAGAUCCAAAAUGUAUAACAGAAAUUGUGAAAGUGAAA